Molecule: ribosomal RNA, 539 nt
Filed under: Mesostenus sp. BFS-2018
Lineage: Eukaryota; Metazoa; Arthropoda; Insecta; Hymenoptera; Ichneumonidae
Description: partial 16S large subunit ribosomal RNA
Rfam family: Archaeal large subunit ribosomal RNA (bases 390-539)
Source: RNAcentral
AAACAUGUYUUAAUGAUAAAUAAUUUUAGGUCUGGUCUGCUCAAUGAAAUUUUAAAUAGCUGCAGAAUUUUAACUGUACAAAGGUAGCAUAAUCAAUAGUUUCUUAAUUAGAAGCUGGAAUGAAUGAUUUGAUAAGGUGAAUAUUGUCUCAAUUUUAAUAAUAUUAAAAAUUUUUUUUUUGUUAAAAAGCUAAAAUGAAUUUAAAAGACGAGAAGACCCUAUAGAUUUUUAUAAUUGAAGUAAAAUUUAUUUAAAUAAAUAAAUAAAAUUUUUUUGUAAAUUAUUUUAUUGGGGAAAUAAUUAAAUUUAAUUAAUUUUAAAAUUUUUAAAACAAUAAUAUUUGAUUUUUUGAUCUUGAAAUUUAAAUAAUUAGAAUAAAUUACCUUAGGGAUAACAGCGUAAUUUUUUUGGAGAGAUCAUAUUAAUAAAAAAGUUUGCGACCUCGAUGUUGAAUUAAGAUAAAAUUUUAAAGUAUAAUUUAAAAAAUUUUGGUCUGUUCGACCAUUAAAAUCUUACAUGAUCUGAGUUCAAACCGGAGA